Long non-coding RNA from Chelonia mydas (Green sea turtle), 160 nucleotides. RefSeq lists it as uncharacterized. The record is from RefSeq and is a predicted model, not a curated record. The transcript has 2 exons. Lineage: Eukaryota; Metazoa; Chordata; Testudines; Cheloniidae.
CACGCACACACAUGCUGCGAAUUACACCUGGUAGGACACGCACACAACUGCUGCGAAUUAUACCUGGUAGGACACGCACACAACUGCUGCGAAUUAUACCUGGUAGGACACGCACACAACUGCUGCGAAUUACACCUGGUAGGACACGCACACAACUGCU